RNAcentral lists this ribosomal RNA (253 nucleotides) under uncultured bacterium. Its description in RNAcentral is "partial 16S ribosomal RNA". It matches the Rfam family "Bacterial small subunit ribosomal RNA", at positions 524 to 776 of the family's 1533-position model. The record is from RNAcentral.
UACGUAGGUGGCAAGCGUUGUCCGGAUUUACUGGGCGUAAAGAGCGCGCAGGCGGUCGUUCAAGUCGCGUGUGAAAGCCCCCGGCUCAACUGGGGAGGGUCACGCGAUACUGAUCGACUCGAAGGCAGGAGAGGGAAGUGGAAUUCCCGGUGUAGUGGUGAAAUGCGUAGAUAUCAGGAGGAACACCGGUGGCGAAGGCGGGUCUCUGGGCCGAUACUGACGCUGAGGAGCGAAAGCGUGGGGAGCGAACAGG